Molecule: ribosomal RNA, 295 nt
Filed under: Chromochloris zofingiensis
Lineage: Eukaryota; Viridiplantae; Chlorophyta; Chlorophyceae; Sphaeropleales; Chromochloridaceae
Description: partial 18S ribosomal RNA
Rfam family: Eukaryotic small subunit ribosomal RNA
Source: RNAcentral
CUGCCGGGGACGGGCUCCUGGGCUUCACUGUCCGGGACUCGGAGUCGGCGAGGUUACUUUGAGUAAAUUAGAGUGUUCAAAGCAAGCCUACGCUCUGAAUACUUUAGCAUGGAAUAACAUGAUAGGACUCUGGCCUAUCUUGUUGGUCUGUAGGACCGGAGUAAUGAUUAAGAGGGACAGUCGGGGGCAUUCGUAUUUCAUUGUCAGAGGUGAAAUUCUUGGAUUUAUGAAAGACGAACUACUGCGAAAGCAUUUGCCAAGGAUGUUUUCAUUAAUCAAGAACGAAAGUUGGGGG